RNAcentral lists this non-coding RNA (232 nucleotides) under Bacillus sp. (in: firmicutes). RNAcentral's name for it is "Bacillus sp. T-box sequence". It matches the Rfam family "T-box leader". From Rfam's summary of the family: Uncharged tRNA acts as the effector for transcription antitermination of genes in the T-box leader family. T-boxes are found upstream of many aminoacyl-tRNA synthetase genes and some amino acid biosynthetic genes usually in Gram-positive bacteria. Lineage: Bacteria; Bacillati; Bacillota; Bacilli; Caryophanales; Bacillaceae. The record is from RNAcentral.
ACAAGACCUAUGAUGGAGAAAAGUAAUUAAGGAUCGCACGUUCAGAGAGGAAAGGCCUUGGCUGAGAGCCGUUCCCGUCAGCACCAUAAUGAAUGAACACUCCGGAGGUUUUCCUUUGAAAGAAGCGAUGCUUUUAGUAGGAGGAAACGCGAGCAGGCGUUAGCUGAAAAGUGAAAACGGAAAAUCCGUUUUAACUAGGGUGGUACCACGGGAAAAAACUCUCGUCCCUUAU